AAGUACUGCCCGAGACGUAAUAUCGUUGCUUCUCGCUGAUAGCCUUAUCAAUUGCAUGUGGGUGAAGUCAGAUACCAGCUGUGUUGGCACAUCUCCUCUGUUUAGCUGACCACUUGAGCAAAAUCAUCUGGGAUACCGAAAGUCUGUAGGGAAGUCAUGAUGGGCAGACGACCGACAAGCGGGAACUUAUUUUAUGAAGUAGGUCUGCUCGUUUUUGCAAGUUUACGUUUGGUCGAUGCACAGCUGUUUCUAAGAGCGCUGAACCCAAAGCAGACCAUCAAACUGAACCAAUGCCGGGAAGUAUGUGGUGAUGAGUAUUUUGAUUGCAAAAUUGGAAAAUGUGAUGGUGGAGAGUAUGUGUCGGAGAAGGGCUAUGGACUCUGUGUCGACCUCUGUAAAGACUCGUUCUAUUCCUGCUUGGACGACUGUAAAACAAGAGUAACGCCCGUCUCAACCACCCCGGCAGAGCGUGCAACCCUACCCCCGGGCGUCAAUGAGAUAAUUCGGAAUUUACACACAGCAAAGGAUAUCAGUGAAUUCAAUAUGAAAUUUUUGCAUGGGCCUAAUGCUCAAAAUCAAGCACAGACGGACAAUACGGCGAAUGCAGAACCUAAUGUAAACAUACCAAUGUUUGCUGGGAAAAACUACUUGAACAAACUUAACACGGUGAGACCGUUCUCAUUCACGGGUGUUCGGUCUUAAUCAUUGCAAAAGUUUAUCUUGAUGUUAAAUGCAGCCUAAAAGAUAAACCGCUCAAUUUUC
Long non-coding RNA from Mizuhopecten yessoensis (Yesso scallop), 762 nucleotides. RefSeq lists it as uncharacterized. The transcript has 2 exons. The record is from RefSeq and is a predicted model, not a curated record. Lineage: Eukaryota; Metazoa; Mollusca; Bivalvia; Pectinida; Pectinidae.